GACGAACGCUGGCGGCGUGCUUAACACAUGCAAGUCGAGCGGUAAGGCCCUUUCGGGGGUACACGAGCGGCGAACGGGUGAGUAACACGUGGGUGACCUGCCCUCAGCUCUGUGAUAAGCCUGGGAAACCGGGUCUAAUACCGGAUAUGACUCCAUGACGCAUGUUGUGGGGUGGAAAGCCUUGUGCGGCUGAGGAUGGGCCCGCGGCCUAUCAGCUUGUUGGUGGGGUGANGGCCUACCAAGGCGACGACGGGUAGCCGGCCUGAGAGGGCGACCGGCCACACUGGGACUGAGACACGGGCCCAGACUCCUACGGGAGGCAGCAGUGGGGAAUCUUGCGCAAUGGGCGAAAGCCUGACGCAGCGACGCCGCGUGAGGGAUGACGGCCUGGU
Molecule: ribosomal RNA, 392 nt
Filed under: uncultured bacterium
Lineage: Bacteria
Description: bacterial SSU rRNA
Rfam family: Bacterial small subunit ribosomal RNA
Source: RNAcentral